RNAcentral lists this ribosomal RNA (457 nucleotides) under uncultured bacterium. Its description in RNAcentral is "bacterial SSU rRNA". It matches the Rfam family "Bacterial small subunit ribosomal RNA", at positions 200 to 677 of the family's 1533-position model. The record is from RNAcentral.
GGGAAAGAUUUAUCGCCGAAAGAUUGGCCCGCGUCUGAUUAGCUAGUUGGUGAGGUAACGGCUCACCAAGGCGACGAUCAGUAGCUGGUCUGAGAGGAUGAUCAGCCACAUUGGGACUGAGACAUGGCCCAAACUCCUACGGGAGGCAGCAGUGGGGAAUAUUGGACAAUGGGCGCAAGCCUGAUCCAGCCAUGCCGCGUGAGUGAUGAAGGCCCUAGGGUUGUAAAGCUCUUUUGUGCGGGAAGAUAAUGACGGUACCGCAAGAAUAAGCCCCGGCUAACUUCGUGCCAGCAGCCGCGGUAAUACGAAGGGGGCUAGCGUUGCUCGGAAUCACUGGGCGUAAAGGGUGCGUAGGCGGGUCUUUAAGUCAGGGGUGAAAUCCUGGAGCUCAACUCCAGAACUGCCUUUGAUACUGAGGAUCUUGAGUUCGGGAGAGGUGAGUGGAACUGCGAGUGUA